UACGGAGGGUGCAAGCGUUAUCCGGAUUUACUGGGUUUAAAGGGUGCGUAGGUGGGCAGGAAAGUCUGUCGUGAAAGCCCCGGGCUCAACCUGGGAAUGGCGAUGGAUACUGGCUCGCUAGAGUGCGGUAGAGGAGAGUGGAAUUCCCGGUGUAGCAGUGAAAUGCGUAGAGAUCGGGAGGAACAUCAGUUGCGAAGGCGGCUCUCUGGACCAGCACUGACACUGAGGCACGAAAGCGUGGGGAGCAAACAGG
RNAcentral lists this ribosomal RNA (253 nucleotides) under uncultured bacterium. RNAcentral's name for it is "partial 16S ribosomal RNA". It matches the Rfam family "Bacterial small subunit ribosomal RNA", at positions 524 to 776 of the family's 1533-position model. The record is from RNAcentral.